Molecule: ribosomal RNA, 1041 nt
Filed under: Triticum aestivum (bread wheat)
Lineage: Eukaryota; Viridiplantae; Streptophyta; Magnoliopsida; Poales; Poaceae
Description: partial small subunit ribosomal RNA
Source: RNAcentral
AUGUUCUCGUCGCAGUCCAGAGCACGCAUCAACAACAUCCGCGCCACACUCUCCACGGCGCAGAAGGGCACGCAAACGGUGGCGGCGUACUUCGCUCACAUGCGAUCUCUCGCAGAUGAGCUUGCAGCCGCGGUAAAACCGAUCGACGACGAUGAACUGGCUUCCUACAUCACCGCCGGCCUCGACAUGGAGUACCAGCCUCUCAUCUCCGCCAACGACGCCCGCACCACGCCCAUCAGCCUCGACGAUCUUUUUGCUCAGAUGAGCAGUUUUGACCAGCGCCUUGCCCUCUACAACGGGGCAGGUUGUGGUGGAGGCUUCAAGUCUUCUGCCAAUGCGGCUGUCUGUGGCCGUGGAGGUGGCGGCUCUCGCUACCAUGGGCGCAACAAGGGCAAGCCAUCGGGCGGAGGCAACAGCAGCAGCGGCAACUCCUUCAACAACGGCGGCGGAGGCAAGCCUCGCGCGGGCCCCGACGUCACGCGCUGCCAGAUUUGUGGCAAGCCAGGCCACACGGCAAAGGAUUGCUGGUACCGUUUUGAGGAAGAUGAGGAAUCUUCCCAAGAUGAGAAGGUUGCAGCAGCGGCAGAUGGCUCCUACGGAGUCGAUACCAAUUGGUAUGUGGACAGCGGCGCGACAAACCACAUUACAGGCGAGCUGGAAAAGGUGACUGUGCGUGAGAAGUACCGUGGACAGGACCAAGUUCACGCUGCAAAUGGAGAAGGUAUGAGAAUUAGUCAUAUUGGUAAUUCAGUAUUUAAAACUCCCCACAGAAAAAUCCAUCUCAGAAAAAUUUUGCAUAUCCCUAGUGCCUCGAAAAAUCUCCUUUCCGUCCAUCGCAUUGCCCUUGACAACAAUGUCUUUCUUGAAUUUCACCCGUUUUUCUUUUUGAUCAAGGAUCAGGUCACGAAGAAAAUCCUAUAUCGAGGUAGAUGCGUUCGAGGACUUUAUCCGUUGAUUCCGGAGCUUAGGAGACUGAAUAAACAAGCCUUACCCUGUGUCUACGAGUGUUUCUACCAAACCUCUCCAACUCAUUUUUUCUGA